This is a long non-coding RNA of Conger conger (European conger), 412 nucleotides long. RefSeq lists it as uncharacterized. Lineage: Eukaryota; Metazoa; Chordata; Actinopteri; Anguilliformes; Congridae. The transcript is spliced from 3 exons. The record is from RefSeq and is a predicted model, not a curated record.
CCUGCCCUAGAGUUUCACACAUCGACUCAGAGCGGGUCACUGCAUACACGGUUCAAAUGCAGUCACACAGCUAACGAGCGUCUCGUUCCCUCACCUCACUGAGGUGCGCGCACAGGUCGUCCCCCGGUGAGGUCUCGCCUUGUACCAUAAAGUCAAAUGUUUAUCAGUUCAUUCUCAGGCCGUAAACUUUAGUGCCCAUAAGAGUCGUAAGAAGAUGAAAGAGUUCGCCGUCAAUUACGGUGGACCUUGGCUUCAACUUAUUUGACAGAACACCAAUUCAACUGAGGCCAAUUCAACUGACCUUCCAGACAAACACAACCCACUGGGAGGUUUAUGAGACUUUUAAAGAGAAUUUUACAACAUUGCAAGUCACUGUCCUGCACAAGAGACCCAUUGUGUGUGGCUGCACUGA